This 423-nucleotide ribosomal RNA is filed under the name uncultured bacterium. RNAcentral's name for it is "partial 16S ribosomal RNA". It matches the Rfam family "Bacterial small subunit ribosomal RNA", at positions 360 to 775 of the family's 1533-position model. The record is from RNAcentral.
AAUCUUCCGCAAUGGACGCAAGUCUGACGGAGCAACGCCGCGCGAGUGAUGAAGGUUUUCGGAUCGUAAAUCUCUGUUGUUAGGGAAGAACAAGUAUCGGUGUCACUGCCGGUACCUGGACGGUACCUGACUAGAAAGCCACGGCCAACUACGUGCCAGCAGCCGCGGUAAUACGUAGGUGGCAAGCGUUGUCCGGAUUUAUUUGGCGUAAAGCGCGCGCAGGCGGUCUUUUAAGUCUGAUGUGGAAUCUUACAGCUUAACUGUAAGCGGUCAUUGGAAACUGGAGGACUUGAGUACAGAAGAGGAAAGCGGAAUUCCACGUGUAGCGGUGAAAUGCGUAGAGAUGUGGAGGAACACCAGUGGCGAAGGCGGCUUUCUGGUCUGUAACUGACGCUGAGGCGCGAAAGCGUGGGGAGCAAACAG